RNAcentral lists this ribosomal RNA (875 nucleotides) under uncultured marine bacterium. RNAcentral describes it as "bacterial SSU rRNA". It matches the Rfam family "Bacterial small subunit ribosomal RNA", at positions 34 to 919 of the family's 1533-position model. The record is from RNAcentral.
CCGUAGGAGCGUGCUUAACACAUGCAAGUCGAACGAUGAAGCCCAGCUUGCUGGGUGGAUUAGUGGCGAACGGGUGAGUAACACGUGGGUGAUCUGCCCUGCACUUCGGGAUAAGCCUGGGAAACUGGGUCUAAUACCGGAUAGGACCUCGGGAUGCAUGUUCCGGGGUGGAAAGGUUUUCCGGUGCAGGAUGGGCCCGCGGCCUAUCAGCUUGUUGGUGGGGUAACGGCCCACCAAGGCGACGACGGGUAGCCGGCCUGAGAGGGCGACCGGCCACACUGGGACUGAGACACGGCCCAGACUCCUACGGGAGGCAGCAGUGGGGAAUACUGCACAAUGGGCGCAAGCCUGAUGCAGCGACGCCGCGUGAGGGAUGACGGCCUUCGGGUUGUAAACCUCUUUCAGUACCGACGAAGCGCAAGUGACGGUAGGUACAGAAGAAGCACCGGCCAACUACGUGCCAGCAGCCGCGGUAAUACGUAGGGUGCGAGCGUUGUCCGGAAUUACUGGGCGUAAAGAGCUCGUAGGCGGUUUGUCGCGUCGUCUGUGAAAACCCGCAGCUCAACUGCGGGCUUGCAGGCGAUACGGGCAGACUUGAGUACUGCAGGGGGGACUGGAAUUCCUGGUGUAGCGGUGAAAUGCGCAGAUAUCAGGAGGAACACCGGUGGCGAAGGCGGGUCUCUGGGCAGUAACUGACGCUGAGGAGCGAAAGCGUGGGUAGCGAACAGGAUUAGAUACCCUGGUAGUCCACGCCGUAAACGGUGGGCGCUAGGUGUGGGUUUCCCUUCCACGGGAUCCGUGCCGUAGCUAACGCAUUAAGCGCCCGGCUUGGGGAGUACGGCCGCAAGGCUAAAACUCAAAUGAAUUGACGGGAC